RNAcentral lists this non-coding RNA (30 nucleotides) under Rattus norvegicus (Norway rat). Lineage: Eukaryota; Metazoa; Chordata; Mammalia; Rodentia; Muridae. The record is from RNAcentral.
UCUCUCAUCGGGAGCUGAUGCACAAGGUGU